GCUCACUUUGGUACCGCAUAUAAUAAAAUUGGAAUGAUACAGAGGAGAUUAGCAUGGCCCCUGUGCAAAGAUGACAUGCAAAUUUGUAAAACAUUUCAUGUUUUU
Sapajus apella (tufted capuchin) is the source of this 105-nucleotide small nuclear RNA. NCBI's taxonomy places the organism in Eukaryota, Metazoa, Chordata, Mammalia, Primates, Cebidae. The record is from RefSeq and is a predicted model, not a curated record.